Molecule: ribosomal RNA, 230 nt
Filed under: Myroides marinus
Lineage: Bacteria; Pseudomonadati; Bacteroidota; Flavobacteriia; Flavobacteriales; Flavobacteriaceae
Description: partial 23S ribosomal RNA
Rfam family: Bacterial large subunit ribosomal RNA
Source: RNAcentral
AUAAGCAAAAUAAGGGCGUAUGGGGAAUGCCUAGGCUCUCAGAGGCGAAGAAGGACGUGAUAAGCUGCGAAAAGCUACGGGGAUCGGCACACACGACUUGAUCCGUAGAUAUCCGAAUGGGGCAACCCACUAUGUUGAAGACAUAGUAUCCUUUAUAGGAGGCGAACCCGCUGAACUGAAACAUCUAAGUAGGCGGAGGAGAAGAAAACAAAAGUGAUUCCGUAAGUAGU